Molecule: ribosomal RNA, 740 nt
Filed under: Cerastes cerastes (horn viper)
Lineage: Eukaryota; Metazoa; Chordata; Lepidosauria; Squamata; Viperidae
Description: partial 16S ribosomal RNA
Rfam family: Bacterial large subunit ribosomal RNA (bases 1-552)
Source: RNAcentral
ACGCCGAGUAUUAAGGCACGCCUGCCCGGUGAUAAUUAAACGGCCGCGGUACCCUAACCGUGCAAAGGUAGCAKAAUCAUUUGUCUAUUAAUUGUAGACCUGUAUGAAAGGCAAAAUGAGAGCCCAACUGUCUCUUAUAAUAGAUCAAUUAAACUGAUCUUUCAGUACAAAAGCUGAAAUACCCCCAUAAGACCAGAAGACCCUGUGAAGCUUUAAUUACCCUAUUAAACCCAAUAAUAGCUAAUUUCGGUUGGGGCGACCUUGGAACAAAAAAGAACUUCCAAAUACAUGACCUAAGUCAUCAAAAAGGCAUACAAGCCACUAUUAGACCCAGUACAGCUGAUAAUUGAACCAAGUUACUCCAGGGAUAACAGCGCCAUCUUCUUCAAGAGCCCAUAUCAAAAAGAAGGUUUACGACCUCGAUGUUGGAUCAGGACAUCCUAGCAAUGCAGCCGUUACUAAGGGUUCGUUUGUUCAACGAUUAACAGUCCUACGUGAUCUGAGUUCAGACCGGAGGAUAUUUAAACAGAAAACUACAAUAAUCUUCUACAACAACACAGAGAUGCUCCCACACUUUUCAGGUUGGAGGAGAGGAAAAUGACUCAACCUAUGUCUCAGUUAUUAUAUUUGGAAUUAUAAAUCAGGGGUGUCAAACUAGCAGCCCACGUUGGCUCCACAAAGGCAAAAAAGUCAUGAUACAUCACGAUACAUCACAUGACGUGAUCUGAKGUCAGACCGGG